RNAcentral lists this ribosomal RNA (253 nucleotides) under uncultured bacterium. RNAcentral describes it as "partial 16S ribosomal RNA". It matches the Rfam family "Bacterial small subunit ribosomal RNA", at positions 524 to 776 of the family's 1533-position model. The record is from RNAcentral.
GACGAACCGUGCGAACGUUGUUCGGAAUCACUGGGCUUAAAGGGCGCGUAGGCGGGCCAUAAAGUCAGGGGUGAAAUCCUCCAGCUUAACUGGAGAACUGCCUUUGAUACUGGCAAUCUAGAGUCCGGAAGAGGUGAGUGGAACUCCUAGUGUAGAGGUGGAAUUCGUAGAUAUUAGGAAGAACACCAGUGGCGAAGGCGGCUCACUGGUCCGGUACUGACGCUGAGGUGCGAAAGCGUGGGGAGCAAACAGG